GUCCACGCCGUAAACGUUGGGCACUAGGUGUGGGACCCUAUCGACGGGUUCCGUGCCGUAGCUAACGCAUUAAGUGCCCCGCCUGGGGAGUACGGCCGCAAGGCUAAAACUCAAAGGAAUUGACGGGGGCCCGCACAAGCGGCGGAGCAUGUUGCUUAAUUCGAUGCAACGCGAAGAACCUUACCUAGGUUGAACUACGCAGGAAAAGCCGUAGAGAUACGGUGUCCGAAAGGGUCUGCGAUAGGUGGUGCAUGGCUGUCGU
This 262-nucleotide ribosomal RNA is filed under the name uncultured bacterium. RNAcentral's name for it is "partial 16S ribosomal RNA". It matches the Rfam family "Bacterial small subunit ribosomal RNA", at positions 793 to 1055 of the family's 1533-position model. The record is from RNAcentral.